This 1074-nucleotide long non-coding RNA is filed under the name Panax ginseng (ginseng). Its description in RNAcentral is "long non-coding RNA (PGIN_LNC008238)". The record is from RNAcentral. Lineage: Eukaryota; Viridiplantae; Streptophyta; Magnoliopsida; Apiales; Araliaceae.
AAAACACUAUCAAACAGUGAUGUAUUACAAGUAAAAAAAAUUCACAACUAUAAGCAACAACCACGAUUAACACAAUACAAACAGAGGGUGCUAAUACACAACAAUAAUAGCUUAUUUCUGCAAUUUGGCAGAUUACAUCACUUCGUAGAUCCACACGUCAAAGCAGUCCCUGCCACAAAGACUCCCAUCCUGAAACACGAAAAAUCACAGCAAUGUCAACAAGUAUACAACUUAGAAUCAAUAAGCCAGCAGGUAUAUUGUUUGCUAUUAAGUCGAAGAAUUCUGCAGUUCUACUAUGAUGCAAUAAUGAAUUUUUCAAAUUAAAUACUUUCACUAAUUGUGGACCUUAUAUCAUGGUUGAGCGGAAUAAAUUGGUUACAUGUUAUUUUACCUUUAGGUUUGUCUACCCAAAAACUAUGGUAUUCUGUAUCAUUUUACCUUUAGGUUAAUGUUAUUGAAAUUCCAAAAUUCCAUUUCUCAUAAUACUGUCAAAGUGGAGUAUAGUUUUCGGAGUGCCUGCAUAAAUUUUAGAAGUCAUAUUGACAUGUUUGAAUUUUAAUAUGAAAACUUAAAUAUGUUUUUGGGUGUAGGUGUUAGGGCUACUAACAUAUGGUCAUGACUCUGAAGCUUCACAGAGCUGGAGACUACCCAAGCUGCAUAAAGCUGGAGACUUGAAAAGAAACUAUAUAUGAGCUAAAUUAACCGUCAGGAGGGGGGAAGACAAGCCAAAAUAGAAAAGGCAUAAAACUAGAAUCAAUGGUGUAAAUCCUAGACACACUAAUGGAUUUACACCCCUAGACAUAGUAAUUGUAGAAUUUUAGAAUUUGAAUAACAUUUACACCCCUAGAUUAGAAUUGGUUCCUAAACACAGUAAUUGUGGAAUUUUGAAAUUUCAAUAACAUUUACACCCCUAGAUUAGAAUUGGUUCACCAUUCUUAGACAGAGACAUAAACCCUAGAUUUACCUUGGAGACGAAGAGUUGAUUUCGCUGUUGAUUUCGUUCGGAGCUUUGGUUCAAAGUUUCGCAAGUUGAUUUCAUCCAGAGCUUUGUGUGUGAGAGAGAGAGAGAGUCGC